CAAACAUGGCUGUUCCUUCCAGAAAUGAAGGGAAAGUCUUCUAGUAGGAAGGACAUUAUGACUUUAUAUAACAUAAUCAUGCAUUAUAAUCCUUUGCCACAUUGUACUGGUAAGACAUAAGUCCCAGAUCCCACCUACACUUAAGGCAGGUGGUAACACAGGGUGGAGAUACCACAGAAUCACUUCAGGGACUGUUGAUCACAAGGAUCAAGCAGAAAAUUGUCCAGAAAUAAACAGGUCAUUUUUCUUCUCUUUUUCUUUUUUGUCUUUUUAGGGCUGCCCCUGCAGCAUAUGGAAGUUCUCAGGCUAGGGGUUGAAUCGGAGCUGUAGCCACCGGCCUACGCCAGAGCCACAGCAACGCUGGAUCCGAGCCGCGUCUGCAACCUACACCACAGCUCACGGAAACGCCGGAUCGUUAACCCACUGAGCAAGGGCAGGGACCGGACCCGCAACCUCAUGGUUCCUAGUCGGAUUCGUUAACCACUGCGCCACGACGGGAACUCCUCUGCAGGCAUUUUGAUAAGCAGUGUUGAUAAGUAUUUCAGGUCCUACCUGUUAGAUUGGAUGUGGUGUAGCCAUGGGAUGUUGAACUAAGUGGGGAGUGGGUGGUGAGGUUUUCAGAGAGAAUCUAGUGACUGGAGGGGAGCAGACCCAUUUGGGGGAGGGUUCACUACAAUGUAGCUGAGCAGUUUGAUAGACCUGAGGCCAUGCUUGGGGGAAGAAUAAUGAACACAUUAUAGAAAUCCUAGCAGGGAAGUGGCAGAGCCAAGUCCUAGCCAAGCCGCUUGACCCUGGGGACUGUAUUCUCCACCACCAACUGCUAGGGCCUCUGAUGUACCUGGGUUCUCAGCUAAAUGUAUGCCCCACAUUGUGAAAUGGUUCUCUGGUAUAGCCAGCACCCAAAGUCAAAACAAAAAAAUGGAAGUGCUGCUUUAUAAUCCAACUUCCCUGGAUUAUAAUUCUUCUUUUCUAAGAGGAUGGCCCUCAGAAUAGCUUUGAUUAUCUCUUAACGAUUUCUAAAGAAGGGCAGCCUAUGUAGUUAAAAAUAACUGAAUAUCUGGAGAAUUCCUUCAGGCCUCUUCUGCUUGGGGUUUUAGGAUAUAAAGUAGUUCUGUUAGAGCAAUGUUUUAACAGCUGCAUCAGCAUGUCCCUGGACAGAAGGGAUACAUAUAAAACACAUCACUUCUCAGGCUUUUUUCCUCCUUCAUUCCUCUACCUCUUCAGGAUAAAACCAUUGUGAGGCUUUUAAAAGUAACAUGGGAUGAGGGCCAUGUUAAAUAAAUCUAAUCAAGACUUAUUGUCUGCUAACUUCAAAGGGAAGCCAAGGAUGAGGGACAUGUGUGAAGAUUCAGCAGACAGGAGGCUUUAACAAAUGACAGUUUGCUUGAGUACGUAGCAUUUCUAAGUGUUAGAGCAUCUCAUAAAGCCAGAAGAAUCCUGGGGGGAAAAAUAGAUACUACCAGAAUCUAAAGAGGCUCAGGUAUGUUAGUUGUUAUCAAAUCAGGUCGAUAGAUUAUCUGAAAACUCUGUGUGAAGUGUUUGAUAUUCAAAACAUUGAUCUGAUUAUGUCUUUGUUGGUUUGAACCAAUCCAUUGCUGUCUCACUACUGUUCAUUUCCAAUAAAUCAACAGGUUGUGAGGUUUGGGGGGAAGGACCAAAUACAGAACAGAAGGGGAAAGCCAUAGCAGUGAAUGUGUAUCUGAAUUUUAGUGCAGCUGUUUGCUAUUUAAUCUCCCUUUGAGUCAGAAUCAGCAUCUCUGGACGCUAGAACCAUUAACCCCAGGGGCCUCAAGCCCUUUACAUGUGCACAUAAUGAGACCCAGGAGGGUAAAUUGCCUUGUCUUGGCCAUGGGUUCCGGUGGCUGCAAAGCCAGAGCAUGGGCCCAGGUCCUUAAUGCUUUGUCUAUUGUGUCAAGGCCCUUAGUUCCCAGUCUGGUUCAUGUAUACUGACUUCACAAAAAAAAAAAAAAAA
RNAcentral lists this long non-coding RNA (1972 nucleotides) under Sus scrofa (pig). RNAcentral describes it as "lncRNA (ENSSSCG00025021841.1)". Lineage: Eukaryota; Metazoa; Chordata; Mammalia; Artiodactyla; Suidae. The record is from RNAcentral.